AAUGUUACCGUGAUCGCUUUUUAAAUGCAUAAAAAAACGUCACCCAGAGCUCAAUUAAGCCUCCUCGUUCAACUUAUAUACCACCACAUCUGUCAAAUACGAUUUCUUUCCCUUGUUCGAUACCAAACAAAAUAAUUAAUUAUCAUUAGCUUUUUAAAUAAUUGUUGUUUAUUUAAAUUGAUUCUUGUUUUGUCAGAUACAAGAAAUAAUUGUGCAAAAUUUCCAGAUACAACAUGGGCGUAGCCAAUUGGGGGGGGGGGUAUAGAGUCAGGUCUUUAUCCGGUCCUUCUUGAAGGCUAUAUAAUUAGCUUUUAGCAUUAAUUAGAUCUAUACGAAUAUUAGCAUAUGAAUAUAGCCUAUUGGCAUACCAUUGACCAUAGAUAGGCUAUAAUAUCUAUAGGCCUACCUAUUCGAUUGCAAAACAUAUACAAAAUAACAAUAAUAAUUAUAAAGAUAUGACCCAAGAGAUUUCAGUAGCCUACACCAGGAACUUUUAUUAGUUUUUGUGUGAUGACAACGCCAUGGAAUACCAAAGGCAGUCUGGUUCAUUGCUCUCCUCAUUAUGUAGUCGAUGGCUUGGAGGAAUUAGAGGAAGAGAGAUAAGAUGCACCCGAUCUCACACCUGUCUCGAUGCUGAAAAACUCGGUUGUUCCUUCUUCUGUUUUAAUGCAGCAACUAGAUUGACUGUAUAUGUGUCGUAGGAUCUGGACGAAUUUUUCUGGGAUGCCAUAUUCUAGAGCUCUAACCGUUUUCCAUAGUGAUUCUCGGUGGACACUAUUAAACGCUUUCUUAAAGUCUACGAAACUGAUCGUUAGCCGUUGUUGGUACUCGAGACUUUGUUCUAUGAUAUUUCGUAGAACGAAGAUCUGCUCUGCACUUGAUCUGCCUCUUCGGAAGCCUAGGCUGCUUGUUCUUCUCUGAGCCUCUCAUCUACAGACUGUUGGAACGGUAUAAACAAAACAGUGCUGAAAACUUUGCCCGGGACAGAGAGGAUAGUAAUGCCCCUCCAGUUGUUGCAGUCUGUCAAGUUGCCCUUUCUUGGAAGCUUUACAAUCACUCCUUUCUGCCAGUCAGGAACUUUAGAAGUUCGCCAACAGAGAUUUAAGAGAUAUGUCAUUCUGUUAACAAUGCACUGCCCCCCCCCCCCCAUGUUUUAGCAUUUCUGCUGACACCAUGUCUAGCCCUGGUGCUUUGUUGUUCUUUAGCACUGCAAUGGCCAUGGUAACCUCCUCUGCAGUUAUUGGGUCUGUCUUGACCUUGAGAUCAUUGUCCGAAGAGGGGUCCUUGAAUGUGUAAGUCAGGUCUGGAGACGGUUAGUUAAGGAUCUCUUUAAAGUGCUCUACCCAUCUUGCAUCCUGUUCUUCUUUCGUUAGCGAAGUUUUGCCUUGUCUUUUAUCGGUGCUCAAUGUCAUAUCUUUGCUCCAUUGAGAUAUCGGACAAUACGAUGGAGAGUCUUUGUGUCAUUUCUGCAUGCAGCUGCUUGUGCCUAUUGACCCUUCUGUUCAAUCCAGUCCCGUUUAUCUCGCCGACAGCUUCAAGAUCUGCUUCCCCAUAAUCUUCUUCCGCUAGGCUGCGAUCCUGGGUUUUUAUUUUUCUAGUGUCGUCUACGUUUGGCAUCUUUCCUCUCAUCGGUCUAUUCCAUGGUAUUCCAUGGCGUGAACAAAACCGAAUGAUGGACUUGACUUUGCCGAUGACGUUGCACUACUCGGGGAUACAAAUAAAUGCAUACAAGAAAUGACGGAGAGCCUAGUGUCGCAGUUAUCUAUGUAGUUGUACAGUGGAAUUAUUUCACUAUUAAUAGCACUGCUUGCGUCUAUUUUGAUGACGUCAUUUUGCAGGAUAAAAUGGUUACAUUUCAAUAGCGCCGCUUUCAUCACUAGUUAAUGACGUCAUCUGAGUUAAUUUCUAGUUUCUUGUGUAGGCUAGGGGAAUGAUCUCCCCUUGUUGCUUCGUCAUUAUUUCUUGUGACGUAGAGUGAGUGCGUGUUAUGACUUUCGACAUAAAUCGUCUGUUUUAUUCUCUCCAUCUUGUGUAGAAGAGACAAGUCGCAUUUGGAAUUUCUCCUUGGAUCUGAUAUUUAAUAGUCUUAUCGUUGUUCCUUGGAUAUAUUCUUAUUGGAUUAUCCUGACCCCUGUUUAGGGGUCUCAGUGCCAAGUCUCAGUGUUAGACUCAGUGUCAAGUCUCAGUUUUCAAUAUUGAGAAGGCACGACAUGGCCUAAACUGUGCCGAUGUGCCUAAAAUCAAAAUCAAAUCAAUAUUGAGAUUUCAGCUUAGUCUACAGGACUGAGGUCUUCAUCUUUUUGUUUUGUUUUCACGGGUCUGAGGUUCCAGACUGCGGGUUGUUGUGUCCAGACCUGGUGAUACAGUGUGAACUAUGAACUUUUGAUUAGUGGUCGUCGGUGAACAGUAUCUGGGCUAGAUCUACGUGUAUUACCAGUUAUUGUCUUGAAAGUUUAUGUGGACAAUUGUACUGAAUAUUAUAGCUAAGGUAAUUAUAUUAUUUGUAUUAUAAUUACUAAGUGAACUGGAUUAUAAUAUACUACAUCAUAUUAUAUAUCUACUGUUAUUCAUAUCAUUAUUAUUAUUCAUAUAUCAGUUCAUUGUAAAUAUAUCAUUAGAUUAAAUUCAUAAUUUUAUUUAAAUCAU
This is a long non-coding RNA of Biomphalaria glabrata, 2646 nucleotides long. RefSeq lists it as uncharacterized. The record is from RefSeq and is a predicted model, not a curated record. NCBI's taxonomy places the organism in Eukaryota, Metazoa, Mollusca, Gastropoda, Planorbidae. The transcript is spliced from 2 exons.